AUACGGAGGAUGCGAGCGUUAUCCGGAUUUAUUGGGUUUAAAGGGUGCGUAGGCGGUUUUUUAAGUCAGCGGUGAAACGCAAGGGCUCAACCCUUGACCUGCCGUUGAAACUGGAGGACUUGAAUGCGGAUGCUGUGGGAGGGAUGUGUGGGGUAGCGGUGAAAUGCAUAGAUAUCACACAGAACACCGAUUGCGAAGGCAUCUCACAAAUCCGUGAUUGACGCUGAGGCACGAAAGUGUGGGGAUCAAACAGGAUUAGAUACCCUGGUAGUCCACACUGUAAACGAUGAUGACUCGCUGUCGGCGAUAUACAGUCGGUGGCCAAGCGAAAGCGAUAAGUCAUCCACCUGGGGAGUACGACCGCAAGGUUGAAACUCAAAUGAAUUGGCGGGG
Molecule: ribosomal RNA, 393 nt
Filed under: uncultured bacterium
Lineage: Bacteria
Description: partial 16S ribosomal RNA
Rfam family: Bacterial small subunit ribosomal RNA
Source: RNAcentral